Molecule: long non-coding RNA, 222 nt
Filed under: Elaeis guineensis (African oil palm)
Lineage: Eukaryota; Viridiplantae; Streptophyta; Magnoliopsida; Arecales; Arecaceae
Description: long non-coding RNA (EGUI_LNC026033)
Source: RNAcentral
AUUUCAUUCUAACUUAUGGAUGACCAAAAGAAAUAUUUUCAGUAAAAACUUUCAACCCUUUGGUAGAUCCAUUAUUAUAUCCAUAUAGCACACACACUUUGACAUUGCAUCUUCCUUUAUCUUUCUAUAAUGCUUAUCAAUGAUUUUUUUUAUAAAUAUUUAAAACAAAAAAGUUAUUAAAGCUUUCCAAAGGGAUGAAAGGCUGGGUGAAGUGAUGGGUGG